Molecule: ribosomal RNA, 206 nt
Filed under: uncultured bacterium
Lineage: Bacteria
Description: partial 16S ribosomal RNA
Rfam family: Bacterial small subunit ribosomal RNA
Source: RNAcentral
AGAUUGCAGGCUGCAACUCGCCUGCAUGAAGUCGGAAUUGCUAGUAAUCGUAGGUCAGCAUACUACGGUGAAUACGUUCCCGGGCCUUGUACACACCGCCCGUCAAACCAUGAGAGUCAGCAACGCCCGAAGUCAGUGACCUAACCGAAAGGAAGGAGCUGCCGAAGGCGGGGCAGGUAACUGGGGUGAAGUCGUAACAAGGUAUC